RNAcentral lists this ribosomal RNA (350 nucleotides) under uncultured bacterium. RNAcentral describes it as "bacterial SSU rRNA". It matches the Rfam family "Bacterial small subunit ribosomal RNA", at positions 355 to 722 of the family's 1533-position model. The record is from RNAcentral.
UGGGGAAUAUUGGACAAUGGGCGAAAGCCUGAUCCAGCCAUGCCGCGUGAGUGAAGAAGGCCUUAGGGUUGUAAAACUCUUUCGACAGGGAAGAUAAUGACGGUACCUGUAUAAGAAGCUCCGGCUAACUCCGUGCCAGCAGCCGCGGUAAUACGGAGGGGGCAAGCGUUGCUCGGAAUUACUGGGCGUAAAGCGAGCGUAGGCGGUUAAUCAAGUUGGUGGUGAAAGCCCGGAGCUCAACUCCGGAACUGCCAUCAAAACUGGUUUACUUGAGAUUGGUAGAGGAAAAUGGAAUUCCUAGUGUAGAGGUGAAAUUCGUAGAUAUUGGGAAGAACAUCUGUGGCGAAGGC